Molecule: long non-coding RNA, 653 nt
Filed under: Rattus norvegicus (Norway rat)
Lineage: Eukaryota; Metazoa; Chordata; Mammalia; Rodentia; Muridae
Description: long non-coding RNA NONRATT031098
Source: RNAcentral
GUUUUUUCAACAUUGAAAAACCUGUGGUUUCUAAUAUUCAAACACGAUCAGCUACAGUGUCAUGGACUCUGAACAAUACUGAAAAAUAUGAUAUUAAUCUUCCUAUGACAUUUGAAUUGGCACUGUCCAGCAGUGGUAAAAACAGAAUCUAUAAACACAUUUAUACUGGUGAUGGCGUUACUGUGGUCCUACAUGAUCUACAGCCUUGCACGGUCUACUUCUUAAGAGUUGCAAUCAUAAGAGAUGGAGAACACAGAAAUGUGUCUGAAGUGGUUAGCUUCACAACACCAGGCUGUGAACCAGACCCUCCUCUUGCACCCACACUGAUUAGCAGAACCAAGAACAGCCUGAACUUACAAUGGAAAGUAAGGAUUUUACUGUGAAAAGAAUCUCAAUGCGUAUCUUAAACUUAAAUCUAAAUUGUUAUUAAAACAAAUAUCCUUAUACAAAAUUUUGCAGUACAAAUUCACUGCAUAAACAUAUACUCAAUAUAUGUGCAGGAUAUAUGAGUGCUGUAUAACAAUAAAUGAUCACAAAUUAAUCGUUCUGACCUUUUCAGGGUUGCAAUGAUAAUGGAUCCAAAAUAAGCCGCUUUCUAUUGGAAUGGGAUGAGGUAUGGUCAUUUAUUAUUAAAAAGAAAUUGUUUUUCAUAC